RNAcentral lists this ribosomal RNA (253 nucleotides) under uncultured bacterium. RNAcentral describes it as "partial 16S ribosomal RNA". It matches the Rfam family "Bacterial small subunit ribosomal RNA", at positions 524 to 776 of the family's 1533-position model. The record is from RNAcentral.
UACGUAGGGCGCAAGCGUUAUCCGGAAUUAUUGGGCGUAAAGAGCUCGUAGGCGGUCUGUCGCGUCGAAUGUGAAAACCCGGGGCUCAACCCCGGGCCUGCAGCCGAUACGGGCAGGCUAGAGUUCGGUAGGGGAGACUGGAAUUCCUGGUGUAGCGGUGAAAUGCGCAGAUAUCAGGAAGAACACCCGUGGCUAAGGCGGCUCUCUAGUACGGUACUGACGCUGAGACGCGAAAGCGUGGGGAGCGAACAGG